Molecule: long non-coding RNA, 239 nt
Filed under: Serinus canaria (Common canary)
Lineage: Eukaryota; Metazoa; Chordata; Aves; Passeriformes; Fringillidae
Description: lncRNA (ENSSCAG00000000871.1)
Source: RNAcentral
AUGUGCCUCCUAUUCUGGGCAUUGCUCUUGAGGCUUGUUGAGGUGAAACAUCCUUGCAACAAAGUACACUGCCUCUCUUCUGUAUUUGGGAAACAGCUACAACAGUGCUGGAAAAGUUUGCAUCUUAGGAUGACCUGAAGAAGGAAUAGCCAGGACAGGGAGCUUUAGGCUUUGCUGAGCCUGCCCAUGGAUCACUCUGUGGCACAGCUCCCAACCCCAGCCCCAGCUGUGAUGCCAGG